Molecule: transfer RNA, 77 nt
Filed under: Enterobacter phage Entb_45
Lineage: Duplodnaviria; Heunggongvirae; Uroviricota; Caudoviricetes; Pantevenvirales; Straboviridae
Description: tRNA-Met
Rfam family: tRNA
About the family: Transfer RNA (tRNA) molecules are approximately 80 nucleotides in length. Their secondary structure includes four short double-helical elements and three loops (D, anti-codon, and T loops).
Source: RNAcentral
UGCGGGUUACAUUCAGUUGGUAGAAGGUCGGGUUCAUAUCCCGAUAUGCGAUGGUUCGAGUCCAUCACUCGCCUCCA